This 1268-nucleotide long non-coding RNA is filed under the name Piliocolobus tephrosceles (Ugandan red Colobus). RNAcentral's name for it is "lncRNA (ENSPTEG00000006198.1)". Lineage: Eukaryota; Metazoa; Chordata; Mammalia; Primates; Cercopithecidae. The record is from RNAcentral.
UAUUCGUUGAAAAAUUGUAUAUUAAAUACGCCAACUAAAGUCAACUAUUUUUUGCGUAAUUUUUUGAAAUAUAUUCUUCCAUACUUUUGGAAGGAACUGCAGUUUAUAGAGAGAUAUAUUGACGUGUCUACUGGUCAGUUAGCUACAUCAUUUUUAUGUCCGACUCAUCUGAAAGAGACGUUUAUUAAAGGAGAUACUAACAGCGACUUAAGUAGUGAUAGAAAGCAGAACAAUGCGAAUACUUUAUCUAAAGUAACUCCUGCUAAUAUAUUUUAUUACAUGAAUGAAAUAAAAAAAAAAAACAAACUUAAAAAGAUUGAAUCAUAUAUGAAUAAUAAUUUAACUUUAUAUGAUAUGAUUCAAUUUGUUAUAACUUUAUUAAAAACUACAUAUUCAUUAGAUAUGGUUUAUGUGAAACCACUGAAAAAUGAACUAUGGAAUGAAUAUAUUUUAAAAUUUGAAAUAAAAAGUAAUAAAUAUACUUAUGGUUAUAUAUAUAUGGACUUAUUUGAGAGAGAGAAUAAAAGUCAAGCUAUUGCUCAAUACACAGUCAGAUGCUCGAAAAAUAUGAAUAUGAGUUUGAAAUAUAAAUGGUUUGAAGAAUAUUCUGAUGUGGUUCCUUUUUUUUACUCGGGCGUUGUAAAAACUGAAAUAGAUAAAAGUAUGAACACAGAUGAAUUAAUAUAUAGAAACGAUUUUGACACAAGUAACACGAACAAAUUCGAUGGAAAAAAAGAUACGCUAUAUAGACAGACGACUUCAACAUUUUUGGUUUGCAAUUUUGGCUUAGAUGGUUGCAUAAAUAAUUGCGACAGUGAUAGUGGUAGGGUUAGAAAAAAAAAAAAAAAAACUAAUGAUAAAAUAAUGUACUUUUUAAAAAAUAUAAAAAUGAGCAUUGAUAAGGUAAGCAUGUUCCUUCACGAAUUUGGCCAUACCCUACACUGUAUAUUAAGUAGCACAUAUCUACAACACUUGUCUGGUAACAGAAGUGGAAUCGAUUUUUCAGAAUUCUCUUCGCACUUUUUUGAAGAGUACUUAAAUAGUUAUGAAGCAUUAUUAUUGUUGUAUUGCAACAGCAAGUCGCAUGAGUAUAAGAAGCAAUAUAAUAAGCAGGAUAAUAAGCAGGAUAAGAAAAUGCAGGAAGAACCGAGGGAAUAUGAACUGUCACCCGAAACAAAUAUAUCCGAAGUGUUAUCAAACUAUGUACAAAAUGAAAACAGUUAAUAGAAAACGAAAUAAAUAACUAUUUUACGGGUUUGUAUUAUAAA